UACGUAGGGGGCGAGCGUUGUCCGGAUUUAUUGGGCGUAAAGAGCGUGUAGGCGGCCAGGUAGGUCAGCUGUGAAAACUCGAGGCUCAACCUCGAGAUGUCGGCUGAAACCAUCUGGCUAGAGUCCGGAAGAGGAGAAUGGAAUUCCCGGUGUAGCGGUGAAAUGCGCAGAUAUCGGGGAAGAACACCCGUGGCGAAGGCGGUUCUCUGGGACGGUACUGACGCUGAGACGCGAAAGCGUGGGGAGCGAACAGG
RNAcentral lists this ribosomal RNA (254 nucleotides) under uncultured bacterium. RNAcentral describes it as "partial 16S ribosomal RNA". It matches the Rfam family "Bacterial small subunit ribosomal RNA", at positions 524 to 776 of the family's 1533-position model. The record is from RNAcentral.